RNAcentral lists this ribosomal RNA (380 nucleotides) under uncultured Synergistaceae bacterium. RNAcentral describes it as "bacterial SSU rRNA". It matches the Rfam family "Bacterial small subunit ribosomal RNA", at positions 1012 to 1382 of the family's 1533-position model. The record is from RNAcentral. Lineage: Bacteria; Thermotogati; Synergistota; Synergistia; Synergistales; Synergistaceae.
GGACCCGGUCUUCGGACUGGGAGCGUACACAGGUGCUGCAUGGACUGUCGUCAGCUCGUGUCGUGAGAUGUUGGGUUAAGUCCCGCAACGAGCGCAACCCCUGCUGCCAGUUGCCAACGGGUGAAGCCGGGCACUCUGGCGGGACUGCCAUCGACAAGAUGGAGGAAGGUGGGAUGACGUCAAGUCAUCAUGGCCCUUAUGUCCAGGGCGACACACGUGCUACAAUGGCCGGCACAGCGGGAAGCGAGGCAGUGAUGCCGAGCGGAUCCCUUAAAGCCGGUACUCAGUUCGGAUUGAAGUCUGCAACUACGACUUCAUGAAGCUGGAAUCGCUAGUAAUCGCAGAUCAGCCAAGCUGCGGUGAAUACGUUCCCGGGCCUU